Small nucleolar RNA from Raphanus sativus (radish), 86 nucleotides. The record is from RefSeq and is a predicted model, not a curated record. NCBI's taxonomy places the organism in Eukaryota, Viridiplantae, Streptophyta, Magnoliopsida, Brassicales, Brassicaceae.
GCUGGGCAUAUGAUGAAAUCAUAUUUCAUGGGUAAUUUGCGUCUGAAUCUUAUUGAUGCUAUUUUUAUGAGAAACUGAUGCCCAUA